GGUGCGAUGGUUGUCGUCAGCUCGUGUCGUGAGAUGUGGGUUAAGUCCGCAACGAGCGCAACCCUUGUCUUUAGUUGCCAGCAUUGAGUUGGGCACUCUAAAGAGACUGCCGGGUGUCAAACCGGAGGAAGGUGGGGAUGACGUCAAGUCCUCAUGGCCUUUAUGAUCAGGGCUACACACGUACUACAAUGGCCGGUACAACGGGCAGCGACAUAGCGAUAUGAAGCCAAUCCCUGAAAGCCGGUCUCAGUCCGGAUUGGAGUCUGCAACUCGACUCCAUGAAGUUGGAAUCGCUAGUAAUCGCGGAUCAGCAUGCCGCGGUGAAUACGUUCCCGGGCCUU
RNAcentral lists this ribosomal RNA (341 nucleotides) under uncultured Desulfofustis sp. Its description in RNAcentral is "bacterial SSU rRNA". It matches the Rfam family "Bacterial small subunit ribosomal RNA", at positions 1037 to 1382 of the family's 1533-position model. The record is from RNAcentral. Lineage: Bacteria; Pseudomonadati; Thermodesulfobacteriota; Desulfobulbia; Desulfobulbales; Desulfocapsaceae.